AUACGUAGGGGGCGAGCGUUGUCCGGAUUUACUGGGCGUAAAGGGUGAGUAGGCGGUUAUAUGUGUCAGAUGUAAAAGGCUAUGGCUUAACCCUAGUUAGCAUUUGAAACUGUAUGACUUGAGGGCAGGAGAGGGAAGUGGAAUUUCUAGUGUAGCGGUGAAAUGCGUAGAUAUUAGGAUGAACACCAGUGGGGAAGGCGACUUACUGGACUGUAACUGACGCUGAGUCACGAAAGCGUGGGUAGCAAACAGGAUUAGAUACCCUGGUAGUCCACGCUGUAAACGAUGAGUGCUAGGUGUUGGCCAGCGAUGGUCAGUGCCGCAGUAAACACAUUAAGCACUCCGCCUGGGGAGUACGGUCGCAAGACUGAAACUCAAAUGAAUUGACGGGG
Molecule: ribosomal RNA, 392 nt
Filed under: uncultured bacterium
Lineage: Bacteria
Description: partial 16S ribosomal RNA
Rfam family: Bacterial small subunit ribosomal RNA
Source: RNAcentral